GCACUGCCUUGAGAGGAAAACAGCUAUCAAUGCAUAUUUGCAUUUCAAGUUAUAUUGAUCUCUUGAAGUACUUGCUAAGGAGUGAAAGUGUUCUACGUUUCUGCAGCUUGCUUUCAUAAGCAAUUCUACUUGUAAUCAAAACAGGUAGAAGAUCUGCGAAAUUGUAGACUUUCUCUAGAUGUAAGAAAUACAAGGCAUAUUUGUUGAAAUGAGAAUUUUCCUAAGUUGCAUAAUGUUAUGGGCCCUUUGCCAUGGCUAAGUCAUUGAAGUUGAAGAGAUCAUAUGAAUAGAUUAGUGAUUAGUCUUCUCCAAAUCUUACUCUUUGCAGUAGAAGCAAAAAGUGGUGUGGCACUCUACUCAACAAGUCAAAUUGAACUUCACUUAGAAAUGAGAUAAAAUUUCUGCAGAAAAAAAUUUUGUCCUUGCUUGAUAAGGAGCUUAUGAAUUGGCUCGUUUCGAGGACUUGAUCUACAUUAUCAAAUGCCAAGCACUUUCUGUAACAUCCAACUAGAUCAUCAUUCAGCUAAUUCUGUUAAUAACUUGUUAUGCUUUAUGCAAUUUAACGGAAACAGCAACAAGUUAUGUCAAGUAAAAUGCAAUGAAGCCUAAAAUCUCUUUUCGUAUACAAUUAAAUUGUCUCUACUGUUAUGUCCAGCAGAAUGAGAUAUAAAUGAGCCUCUACUGUUAUGUCCAGCAGAAUGAGAUAUAAAUGAGCCUCUACUGUUAUGUCCAGCAGAAUGACAUAUAAAUGAGCCUUAGUGAAUGAACAGUUUAUACGUUGCUUAUUUCAGUAGAGAAAUGGUUGUCCUCAUAAAAUUAGCCCCAAAAUGCAACUACAGCUGCCUCUUUUCUCAUAUGAGAUACUAAAUUGUAUGGAUUGAUUGAAAAGCAAUCACUUCACUUGUAUGCAAUUUGUGGCAUCAAUUGCGGAUGUCAGGAACAGGGAGGCCCUUGAUCUGCAUCUGUUUGUACAUCCAUUUCCGGUUCUCUGGGGUCACCUCACCCCCAAGUGAGCGAACAACUGAUCCGCCGCUACAUGCACCAAUUUUGCAGCAUUCCUCCAAAGAUAAUUCCUUCACCAGUCCAUACAAAAACCCACUGGCAAAGAGGUCUCCUGCUCCAGUGGCAUCGACUGCCUUUGCUUCCCCAGUGGCUGGAACCCGGACAGUCUGACACAUUGGGAAAUUUUUAAUAUAAUCCAAUGGUAAAGACAUAAUAAUAAUAUCGAAAUAAAAUGAUAUAAAAUGGGCAACAAUUACAAGUAUCUUAAAUUGGAAAUUGAGAACAGCAUACGUGAUAGUUUUCUAUUUCCCUGGACAUAGUAACAAGUCUAAAGGAAGGCUAACAUUUGAGGAAAGCGUAAUUGAAAAUGAUACCCUCAUGUAUUUCUAGAGGUAAAAGAUGGGGCAAAAAAUUAAGGGAAGGCAUUCUGCCACAGAAAUUUUUGAGCAAUUGAGAAAACUUGUUCAUUGAACAUAACUUCACAUAUGCACAAAAUGGCUCAAAUCUACAAGUAGAUACUAACCUCUUUUCCAUGCUUUGCAAUGCACCCAUUACGACCUAAAGUCACUACAGCCCACUUGCAAUGUUCGGCCAAGAAUUGUAGCGGUGCCUCAGGAUCAGUAUUUUGUUCACCUCCAAGAAGUUCCAUUGCUUCAUCCUCAUUAGCAAAGCAGAGGUCUAUGUCCCCUGACUCUAGCAAUUGAAGGAGAGGUGGUCUGAAGUCUCGAACCAUCUGGCCAAAGUUAAAAGCAUUUAUAUUAAUAUACUGAUAAAGGAAACUUGGGGCUUUGAAAACUGCAGAGGAAAGAAUAAAAUAACGAUCAGUCCCGUAUCAAACAGCCAUGACUCCUUGAUAACAUAAAGAUUACAGGAUAAGUCACUAAGCUACAUUGCAACCAUAAAAAUAUGUUGGAAUUCAACAAUGUAGAUAGAAUCGUAUCCAUAAUAAUUUUUGGCAAUGACUAAAGUGGCCAUUUAUUCCUUGGAUGUUCAAAUUAUCUGAUGUUUGAUAAUGAAGAUGGUAGCUGAAAGACAUGCAUAACAUUGAUAAAAUUAUACCUCAAAACUGGCCAAAUCCAAUGAGACAUAAAGACCCUCCUGCUUUGCAAUCUGAAUUGCUUCUUGAAUAACUUCUAUAUUGAAUUUUCCAUAUCUUAUUACCAGCCACUUGGAGCCCUUAAAAUCUUCCUUGGUCAAUUCAUCAGCCUGAAAAGAACAAAAAUAAUAGAUAUAUUUGAAAUGGCUCAUCUUAAUAAAAAAGCUACAACAAAAUCCUUGAAGGUUAGCAAAGAGCAAAAGUAUUAAGGAUAAACAAAAGAAACAAAGAAACAAACACCUGAACUUUCACAGCACUUGACAGGCAAGGUCGCAUUGUACGAUUGCCCAAUGCAUCAACCAAACAAACACACUGUAACAAACCAGUUACUAAUAAAGCUUCAGAUUUGAGAUUUGAAGCUCCGUAACAAAACAUCCAACACUAUUUCAAUUUUACAGAAUUUGCAAAAUAGGGAUCACCUGACCCGUCGGUCCCUUCUUCCUCCUCAAUUUCGAGAUGUUCACCCCACUAAAGCCCAUAUUACUAGCAAACAACUGGCCUUCCUCAUCAUCCCCAUAAGCCCCAAUAAUCCCACAAGAGACUCCAAAGUUUGCACUAAGACCCCGAAUGGUAUUGGCUACACUGCCCCCAGCAAUUGUUAACAUAGGAGAUGUCUCACCAGGGGAAGUAAGCAUAUGAGUUUUAACCUCUCCUAAAAUUUGCUGAAGGUCUUGAAUUGCA
Molecule: unclassified non-coding RNA, 2779 nt
Filed under: Hevea brasiliensis (rubber tree)
Lineage: Eukaryota; Viridiplantae; Streptophyta; Magnoliopsida; Malpighiales; Euphorbiaceae
Source: RNAcentral